AUGUAGCUUCGCCCUUAGGAAAAUAUGUAGAUUCUUCCUAUAUAAAGAGUUCUCAUGGAGAGAUGUUUCAUUAAGAGAAACACAUUGAAAGGUUUAGUUUUGAGAGAGUUUCUAAAUCUAAUAAGAAGAGAAGUUCUUAUAAUCUUUGUGUUUGAUGAAACUUUAAAUGAAUGUAGUUUAUUGUGUCUCAGCCUUUGCGUAUGAUGGUUGUUCUUUCUCAGCCUUUGAUUGAAUGUAAUUUGAGCAUGUAAUGAAUGUAAUUUGUUCUGUCUCAGCCUUUGUGUAUGAUGGUUGUUCUGUCUCAGCAUCAAAUUUAAAAAACCUUUGAUUGAAUGUAAUGAACUGUGUGCGUACGAUGCUUGUUCUGUCUCAGCCUUUUGUGUAUGAUGGUUGUUCUAUCUCAGCCUCAGAUUUUAAAAAAACCUUUGAUUGAAGUUGGUCUUAAG
This 446-nucleotide long non-coding RNA is filed under the name Brassica napus (rape). Its description in RNAcentral is "long non-coding RNA (BNAP_LNC025800)". The record is from RNAcentral. Lineage: Eukaryota; Viridiplantae; Streptophyta; Magnoliopsida; Brassicales; Brassicaceae.